CCUGGCUUCACACACACCCUGCCCGGCCAUCUAGAUGUGUGAAGCCACGUUUCAUGUGCCCGCUCAUUCACUGGCAAGUUGAAUGUUUCCUGUCCAAGCACUUCAAAUCCUGUCCUGCCCUCAGUGGAAGAGUUGAGCUCUCUCCAAACACCAUCCAUCCAUCCAUCCAUGAUGAGCCUGUCCUGCACUGAAGUCUAUGAACACCUCAACCCCCAUCCUUCACUGAAGUCGAACCUCUGAACACCUCAACUCAACUCAUGCCUCAUACCCUCAUUCAAUCCCUGCUGUGAUCCCUUCCCAACACUGUAGGUAGCUCUCUCAUUCCCAUUCCCCAUAAUACUGUGCUAUAAACAUCUUUAUUAAAUGCUUGAGGUUAAAAUAAACAGUCUUUGACGAUUUUUCCUCAAUUGUUCAAGUCACCAGCCUCCACUGGUGUCCACAUACUUUUGUAUAUAUAGUGUAUUUCAUCUGUUAUAUGUGUGAAAUCAGUUUUGGUAUAAUUUCGGUUCUGUUUUCUUGGCAAUUACCGGGGUGAUUAUCAACUUGGCAUGGCACCUUCCACUGUUGGGAGAAAGAGCAGAGCAGGCCCUACUGUCAGGAGGAGGGGCAACGGGGGAAAACCUUUAAAAAAUGGCAUGCCCUUCUAAAACUGGUUAUAAUUACAGCUCUGUUUAUGAUAUUAAGAAUCUAACAAUAGCAGUCUGUUAUAUAGACUUAUUAAGGAAAAGUCAAGGAGGGGGGGCAUGACUUUAAAAUUGGCAGAGAAGGAGGACCAGAAGGAGCCGCUGCUCAGUGCAACGCAGCCUCCAUCCUCAUGGAUGAAGACCACGUGGAGCUGGUGUAGCGAACCAUGGCAGCAGUGGCCCUGCCCUCUCUGGCCAUCCUGACCGGGGCUCAGGAGAUCUCAGACGACUAGUGGAAGGACAUGGUCCAGAAGACGCUCCAGACUCGCCAAAGCUCAGAAGGCCUGACUAUGGAGCGCAAAUAAGCCUGAAUUGCCUCCUUUCCCACAGUGUUUUUAACUGUGUCCUGCAUUUCACCAUCACCCUUACCCCAGGGAAGUCUGAGCUGAGGUCCUCUGAACAGGUCAUGAGUCCUAGGUGUCUCAAUUCUCAAGAUAUGAGAGAAAUUGUGCAAACCCCUUUAUGUCCAAUUCAUAUUAUAUUAGGAUAUAUCUCAUAAAUAUUUGUGUUUGAAAGGAGCCUCUGGGUACUCACUGAUCCUAACCUAGAGGGCGGCAGGUAGCUUAGUGGUUAAGCGCGUCGGGCCAAUAACUGAAAGAUUGCUGGUUUGAAUCCCCAAGCCAACUAGGUGAAACAUCUGCCUGUGCCCUUGAGCAUGCCACUUAACCUUAA
Salvelinus sp. IW2-2015 is the source of this 1355-nucleotide long non-coding RNA. RefSeq lists it as uncharacterized. The record is from RefSeq and is a predicted model, not a curated record. NCBI's taxonomy places the organism in Eukaryota, Metazoa, Chordata, Actinopteri, Salmoniformes, Salmonidae.